Molecule: long non-coding RNA, 1208 nt
Organism: Zootermopsis nevadensis
Lineage: Eukaryota; Metazoa; Arthropoda; Insecta; Blattodea; Termopsidae
Source: RefSeq, a predicted model, not a curated record
UACGUGCUCUUGGGAUCAUUAUGAGUCGAAAAAGUUCGUAUAAACGUGGCUCCAUUUCGCAACGGUUUGUUAAGAAAAUGCUCCGCAUUCACUAUGCAUUGACUGUGUUUGCGAAAUUAAUUCACUAGGCUGCGCACAUGGCGCACGUAGGGAAGUCACAGGGCAGUCAGUGCUUGACAUCUAAGCGCUACGUGCGUUUCCUACAGGAGAGCUGUCAUUGAUGUUAUAAGAUGUUCCUCUGCUAACCACGCAAGAUAAUGCACUUCCUCAUCUUGGUAGGCAGGUGACUGCAUUUCUGAAUCGACACCGUUGGAAUGGCAGAGGUGGUCCAGUUGCUAGGGCAAAGAGAUUAUCAGAUCGAUCGUCUUUGGACUACUUUCUCUGGGGUCGCAUAGAAUCCCUGGUGUAUGCCAUCAAGUCAAACAGAGGGCUGAGACGCUGAAUCGAAUAAUGGACACCGAUACCAACAUCAAAAAUGAUCAUGACAAUAUGUGGAGGGCUGUUACUUCAGUUACACGAAGGGCUCUACUGUGCAUCGACAAUCAGGAUGGCCAUUGCGAGUCACGUAAAUAACCUGCAAGACCCAAGCCACCAGCUGCUGCUGUGAUCAAGACAGUAUCAGUUUCCUUCAAUUUUCCACGUCGAACAAGGCCAAUAAGAGCUGUUGAAUAUGAAUCUGCCAAUGCAACAGCAGUUUCAAAACUCACUGCAGACGGCAGCUGCCACACAUCCUUUUCUGAAUGGACAAAGCAGUAAGGUUAUUUCUAAGCAUCUGGGCGAUUGCUAAACCUGUAAGCAGCAAGGUCCUACCAUCAUGCCAACCGCCCAAGAUUCUAACUACUGGCAAAACCAACAGGGCCUACAAUCUAAAUGAAUUAGAAAUAAAACUUAACUUCACUCUCCAAUGUUCUGCACACAUUCCUGGUACGACCAUAUAAAGGUUACAUCCACAAAUUGACAUACUAUUGGGAAAUAACUUUUCACUGGCACCCACCACAUGCCAUGGGAUAUCAUGUAUUAAACACAAACUGUGCAAAUUUCAGUAGCUGCAGAAGAUAUGGUUUAUUCACCCACCUGACGUGGCUUGUAACACGAGUCUUUCAUCAACUUCAGUCGGCACAAAAGCUUCACUUUAUAUAUCUGUGUAUGUACUUCAGUAUGUAAAUAAAACCAAGCCUCAUCAGAAAAUAAAAUCAGCUGAACAUUGA